AUUGAACGCUGGCGGCAUGCCUUACACAUGCAAGUCGAACGGUAACAGGUCUUCGGAUGCUGACGAGUGGCGAACGGGUGAGUAAUACAUCGGAACGUGCCCAGACGUGGGGGAUAACGAGGCGAAAGCUUUGCUAAUACCGCAUACGAUCUAAGGAUGAAAGCAGGGGACCGCAAGGCCUUGCGCGUUUGGAGCGGCCGAUGGCAGAUUAGGUAGUUGGCGGGAUAAAAGCUUACCAAGCCGACGAUCUGUAGCUGGUCUGAGAGGACGACCAGCCACACUGGGACUGAGACACGGCCCAGACUCCUACGGGAGGCAGCAGUGGGGAAUUUUGGACAAUGGGCGAAAGCCUGAUCCAGCAAUGCCGCGUGCAGGAUGAAGGCCUUCGGGUUGUAAACUGCUUUUGUACGGAACGAAAAGGCUCUGGCUAAUACCUGGGGCACAUGACGGUACCGUAAGAAUAAGCACCGGCUAACUACGUG
This 482-nucleotide ribosomal RNA is filed under the name uncultured bacterium. RNAcentral's name for it is "partial 16S ribosomal RNA". It matches the Rfam family "Bacterial small subunit ribosomal RNA", at positions 30 to 507 of the family's 1533-position model. The record is from RNAcentral.